CAAUAGCGUAUAUUAAAGUUGUUGCAGUUAAAAAGCUCGUAGUUGGAUUUCGGGACGGUCCGGCUGGUCCGCCGCAAGGCGUGUUACUGACCGGGCUGUCCUUCUUUGCAAAGGCUGCAUGUGUUCUUAACUGAGUGUGUGUAGGAUUUGUGACGUUUACUUUGAAAAAAUUAGAGUGUUCAAAGCAGGCCAGCGCUUGAAUACAUAAGCAUGGAAUAAUGGAAUAGGACUUUGGUUCUAUUUUGUUGGUUUCUGGAACCGAAGUAAUGAUUAAGAGGGACAGUUGGGGGCAUUUGUAUUUCGGCGCUAGAGGUGAAAUUCUUAGAUUGCCGAAAGACAAACUGCUGCGAAAGCGUCUGCCAAGGAUGUUUUCAUUGA
Molecule: ribosomal RNA, 378 nt
Filed under: uncultured eukaryote
Lineage: Eukaryota
Description: partial 18S ribosomal RNA
Rfam family: Eukaryotic small subunit ribosomal RNA
Source: RNAcentral